Molecule: ribosomal RNA, 373 nt
Filed under: uncultured organism
Description: partial 16S ribosomal RNA
Rfam family: Bacterial small subunit ribosomal RNA
Source: RNAcentral
GUAGGUGGCAAGCGUUGUCCGGAAUUAUUGGGCGUAAAGCGCGCGCAGGCGGUCCUUUAAGUCUGAUGUGAAAGCCCGCGGCUCAACCGUGGAGGGUCAUUGGAAACUGGGGGACUUGAGUACAGAAGAGGAAAGCGGAAUUCCAAGUGUAGCGGUGAAAUGCGUAGAGACUUGGAGGAACACCAGUGGCGAAGGCGGCUUUCUGGUCUGUAACUGACGCUGAGGCGCGAAGGCGUGGGGAGCAAACAGGAUUAGAUACCCUGGUAGUCCACGCCGUAAACGAUGAGUGCUAAGUGUUAGGGGGUUUCCCGCCCCCUUAGUGCUGCAGCUAACGCAUUAAGCACUCCGCCUGGGGAGUACGGCCGCAAGGCUG